RNAcentral lists this ribosomal RNA (253 nucleotides) under uncultured bacterium. Its description in RNAcentral is "partial 16S ribosomal RNA". It matches the Rfam family "Bacterial small subunit ribosomal RNA", at positions 524 to 776 of the family's 1533-position model. The record is from RNAcentral.
UACGGAGGGGGCUAGCGUUGUUCGGAAUUACUGGGCGUAAAGCGCACGUAGGCGGCUUUGUAAGUUAGAGGUGAAAGCCUGGAGCUCAACUCCAGAACUACCUUUAAGACUGCAUCGCUUGAACGUCGGAGAGGUGAGUGGAAUUCCGAGUGUAGAGGUGAAAUUCGUAGAUAUUCGGAAGAACACCAGUGGCGAAGGCGGCUCACUGGACGACUGUUGACGCUGAGGCGCGAAAGCGUGGGGAGCAAACAGG